GGAGAGAUGCCGGAGCGGUCGAACGGGGCGGUCUCGAAAACCGCUGUCUGCCUAUCGGUGGACCGGGGGUUCGAAUCCCCCUCUCUCCGC
RNAcentral lists this transfer RNA (90 nucleotides) under subsurface metagenome. Its description in RNAcentral is "tRNA-Ser". It matches the Rfam family "tRNA". Rfam says of the family: Transfer RNA (tRNA) molecules are approximately 80 nucleotides in length. Their secondary structure includes four short double-helical elements and three loops (D, anti-codon, and T loops). Further hydrogen bonds mediate the characteristic L-shaped molecular structure. tRNAs have two regions of fundamental functional importance: the anti-codon, which is responsible for specific mRNA codon recognition, and the 3' end, to which the tRNAs corresponding amino acid is attached (by aminoacyl-tRNA synthetases). tRNAs cope with the degeneracy of the genetic code in two manners: having more than one tRNA (with a specific anti-codon) for a particular amino acid; and 'wobble' base-pairing, i.e. permitting non-standard base-pairing at the 3rd anti-codon position. The record is from RNAcentral.